Small nucleolar RNA from Xiphias gladius (swordfish), 149 nucleotides. The record is from RefSeq and is a predicted model, not a curated record. Lineage: Eukaryota; Metazoa; Chordata; Actinopteri; Istiophoriformes; Xiphiidae.
CUUCGGUGAUGAUACGAUGACGAGUCGGAACAGAACUCAGUCUGGUUCUGGUGGUUACUGGCUCAGAUUCACGUUCUGUGAUUCUGUUCCAGUUCCUCAGAGCAGGGAGUCCUUUCAUUUGAAGACAUCGAGGCAUUUGUCUGAGAAGG